UACGUAGGGCGCAAGCGUUGUCCGGAAUUACUGGGCGUAAAGGGCUCGUAGGUGGCCAACUAAGUCAGACGUGAAAUCCCUCAGCUUAACUGGGGAACUGCGUCUGAUACUGGAUGGCUUGAGUUUGGGAGAGGGAUGCGGAAUUCCAGGUGUAGCGGUGAAAUGCGUAGAUAUCUGGAGGAACACCGGUGGCGAAGGCGGCAUCCUGGACCAAUACUGACACUGAGGAGCGAAAGCCAGGGGAGCAAACGGG
Molecule: ribosomal RNA, 253 nt
Filed under: uncultured bacterium
Lineage: Bacteria
Description: partial 16S ribosomal RNA
Rfam family: Bacterial small subunit ribosomal RNA
Source: RNAcentral